RNAcentral lists this microRNA (23 nucleotides) under Cordylochernes scorpioides. The record is from RNAcentral. Lineage: Eukaryota; Metazoa; Arthropoda; Arachnida; Pseudoscorpiones; Chernetidae.
AAGUGUUUUGGGGGGAUAGGAGU